Molecule: ribosomal RNA, 253 nt
Filed under: uncultured bacterium
Lineage: Bacteria
Description: partial 16S ribosomal RNA
Rfam family: Bacterial small subunit ribosomal RNA
Source: RNAcentral
UACGUAGGGGGCUAGCGUUGUCCGGAUUUAUUGGGCGUAAAGCGCGUGUAGGCGGAUGAGCAAGUCUGCUGUGAAAGCUCCUGGCUUAACCGGGAGUGGUCGGUGGAAACUGCUCGUCUGGAGGACGGUAGAGGUAGGUAGAAUUCCCGGUGUAGUGGUGAAAUGCGUAGAGAUCGGGAGGAAUACCUGUGGCGAAGGCGGCCUACUGGGCCGGACCUGACGCUGAGACGCGAAGGCGUGGGGAGCGAACGGG